This 2971-nucleotide long non-coding RNA is filed under the name Triticum aestivum (bread wheat). RNAcentral's name for it is "long non-coding RNA (TAES_LNC023310)". The record is from RNAcentral. Lineage: Eukaryota; Viridiplantae; Streptophyta; Magnoliopsida; Poales; Poaceae.
CAUAUGUCGCCGGGAUGGGAAAUCUUCUUGCCACAGGUAAUUUCGACUAGCCCUUCUUGUAUUUCUAGUUUCUGGUUCAUCUUCAGAUCUUUGCGAUGCCACAUGGGCUUGAAUCGGGCGGUAGUGGAUGGCCUUGAAUCAGGCAGACGCGAUGACAGAGGGCUUGAAUGGGGCGACGGAAAAGCGACUGAUUCAUCCGAUUUGGAGGAGGGCGACACGGCAGUGGAGAGGUAAGAUCUCGCGGCAUGGUAUGUCAUCGGACUCCUCCUCCUUGGCAAACAUGCGACUGGAGGAGAUGGUGGCGCCGGUUGUCACCCGCGCCUCCCUCCCAUGCUUCCACUACCAGCCAAGAGGUGGGAAACCACCAUCAUGGUGGUUUUCCACCUCCUCGCCGGCCUCGUUCUCGUGGAGGCGGACGCAGCGGAGAUACCAUCUCAUGGAGUGUUGCGUCUUCCACACACUGCCGCAGUCCAGCUCGGACGAGGAGGACGAUGGACGCAGGCAUGGCAGAAGGCACCCACGAGAUUCCCGGAGGCCUAAGAGCCGCAGGAAGUGGGACUUGGUCUAAGAUGGAUGGGGCGAUGUUUCCUUCAAGAAAAGCUCACUGAUUGCUCCGAGGCGGCGGGGCAUCUGGGACCAACAGGUAGACGAUGAUGAUCUGAUGUAUUCUCUUUUCGAGAAUCAUCAGAGCAUAUCAUCAGAAGGAAGAAAAUAAAACCAAGAGAAAGUCUCUGCUCCUCUGGUUGCACUAGAUGUACACGCAUGUCAUUAACCGUGUUGUUCUUUUGAGCUGAGCACACACCGAGCUCCAAUGGCAGAGAAUGGAGAUCCUCGCCCCAAACUUGCCGCUAGUUUGCCUUGCCUCCCUGCGACGGCUCCGCCGCUCAGGCCGCCCGGAUGCGCCAUUCUGCCCACGGUCGCGUCUUUGCCACCCCCCGCCCCCGUGCAGAGGGGCAGCGUGCGGCCGUUCGUUUGGUCAAGGAGGUGACGAUAUUGUUCAGCGGUAAAAACGUUAAUCAAACUUUCGAAAAAAAAAUAUUAACAAUGCGGACGAGGUUGCGCCUAUAAGGUGGGCAAUUAUGGGUGGUCUGGCGAGGAGGCGGGCGUGUAUCAACGGGCGCGGCGUGCCGCCGCGCGGGCUCCGCUAGUAUUAGCUAGUAUACAACAGUCUAUCAAGUCGCAGUGCAGUGCGUGCUCUCGUUGACAGCUGGGCGAUAGUUGGGCCACUUGGAUCUUCCUCCCUGCCUCUGUUGAUCCUUUCCGUCCAUCUCGUGAAAGAGUCACCGCCAACCAGUAGUAUGUGAUGCACGGCGGAAAGAGGUCGUCGAGCAGUCACGCGCUGGAGGCUGGGAUGCGCGUCCCGCUGCUGACGUUCUCGCCAACUUCGGCAUCACUCCUACCCAGCUCGCAUCGAAUGGGUGGCGCAUCAUGGCGGGCUUCCUCGCCCUCUGCCAUUCCGACGGCAUGCCGCCGGACGGAACGCGGCAGGAGGAGGCUCUCCCGCGCGGGGACGGUGCGGCGUGGGCGGGAUAUGGUUGCUGGAGUGGUCGCUGGCAGUGGGGCUGCCCGACGGCGGCGAGAGGCGGCGGUGAGUUGUUGUUGAAAUUGGUAGAUCAAUUUUAUAGGGGAAAUAAUUUAUUUUUUGGUUUGCAAAAGAGUUAACUAGUGUUUUUUGGGUUUGGAAAAGAGUUAAUUAAUUGACAUAUGCAGGCGCGUGAUGCAUCAGUCCGUUUGGGCUGGUUAGAUAGACUUUCACCGAGUUCAGCCUUUCUUGGCCCAUAUCAAUGUGCGCUGGGAGAUAAGAAGGCACGGCACUCUGGUAGAGGUCCAGCUCCUAGCAGGCAGGCGGGGCGGCGACCACCACGGCGACCGGCGGCUACGCAGGUGCGUUCCUCCCCCCUUCCCCUCUCUUCCCCACCCCUUCUCCCGUCGCUCCCUAGCCUUCUUCCCCAUCUGUGCUCACAUGGAUCGGUCACCCUGUGCCACGCCCCUCUAGUCGGCGGUGGCUCAGGACCGGCACUCCCCGCCGUCCUACCCGCACGCGGUGCUCCGCCCUCCUUAGCCACGCGCCACCGCCUCACUUUGCUACGCCCUCCAUUCUCCACGAUGGCCAUAGGAGCUGCUGCUCCUUUUCUGCACAAACUACAGAUCCACCAUGGGUCCAUGGCCGUAGGAGCUGCUGCUCGUUUUGUGCAGCCACAACUGCUCCGCCAUGGGUCCAUGGUCAUAGCCUAGAUCUUCUUCUCAAACCACUCCAUAAUCCUAAAGAUCCCUCUGUUUUGCACUGUUUCUAAUUUUUUUUUCUUCACUUUUGUCUAUUGUGCAGAUUACGGAAGUUUUGUCGAUCUGCUGGCCGAUUCAAGGUAUGUGUCCAAAAUCCCCUCAAAUUUGCAUGUGGUGUCUUGUUGCCAUGUUUUACAUCUAGAUAAGUGAACUUUACAGCUCUGUCGAUCUGCUGGCCGAUUCAAGGUAUGUGUCCAAAAUCCCCUCAAAUUUGCUUGUGGUGUCUUGUUGCCAUGUUUUACAUCUAGAUAAGUGAACUUUACAGCUCAAUGUCGGAUCGGUUGUAGUUGGUUGAGUGGAUAACUGAAGAAAAUAAAAGAAGGAAGAGGAAAAAUAAUUGUUUCGACUAAAUUAUUUGCUGAAACAUGUGCUCUUGCAUUAGCUAGGUGACCAGGGGAUCUAUGCAGUUUUAUUGAUGAUGAGAACAAGCAUAAGCGUAAGAAAUAUUGUUUGGAACUAUCAUAUUUGAGUAUAUGUCUUGUUUGGAACUACCAUAUUUGAGUCUUUGUCUUGUUUGGAACUCUCAUACUUGAGUUUAUGUACCGUUUGGUACUAUCAUAUUUGAGUUUAUGUACCGUUUGGAACUAUCAUAUUUGUUGUAUCUAUGAAUAUUUGAGGCUCAAAUAUUGUUUGGAACUAUCAUAUUUGAGGCUGAAGCAUUGUUGUCCUCAGCGUUUUUCAACAUAUG